Molecule: long non-coding RNA, 533 nt
Organism: Hyaena hyaena (striped hyena)
Lineage: Eukaryota; Metazoa; Chordata; Mammalia; Carnivora; Hyaenidae
Exons: 3
Source: RefSeq, a predicted model, not a curated record
GCCGGGAUGGCAGCAGCCUCAGCUGACUCAUUCUGGACACAGGCAACGAGGGAGAGGAGGGCAGCCAGCUGGCUACUCCUGCCUCCAUCCCAGCAGGGCGUGAGGACCCAGGAGCUCUGAAGGGCUGCAGGCAGAACCAAUCUCAGGAUCUGGAGCCAAAGCCCCAGCCAGCCCUACCAGAUCCUGUCCACACAGGCGAAGGCAGCAGCAAAGAGUCAGUCAGGCAUGCUGUGAACCCUCUGCCCAGCCCAGUCCCCAGUGGACUAACAACAGAAGCAUUUCCCAGGAUGGCUGAGAUCUCACGCCCCUCCUGCCUCGCUCACGCUCACGGUCUCAGUUUCCUUAUCCAGAGACUCUGGUUAAAGCUUUUUGUAAGGGCCCUGCCCCCACGAGCAGACUUGGAAAACUGCCUGGUGUGUCCCGCCAGGCACCAAACGCUGUAGGCAGCCCCUUCCCCAGCUCGGCAGCCCUCGGCAGCCUGGCCUGGUGACGGUGACGAUGACGAGCAGCAGCUCACACCGCCUCCCUCUCCC